CCAGACUCCUACGGGAGGCAGCAGUGGGGAAUAUUGCACAAUGGGGGAAACCCUGAUGCAGCAACGCCGCGUGAGUGAAGAAGUAUUUCGGUAUGUAAAGCUCUAUCAGCAGGGAAGAAGAAGGACGGUACCUGACUAAGAAGCCCCGGCUAACUACGUGCCAGCAGCCGCGGUAAUACGUAGGGAGCGAGCGUUGUCCGGAAUUACUGGGUGUAAAGGGAGCGUAGGCGGGGAUGCAAGUUGGGCGUUAAAUCUACCGGCUCAACUGGUAGUCGCACUCAAAACUGCAGCUCUUGAGUGAAGUAGAGGCAGGCGGAAUUCCUAGUGUAGCGGCGAAAUGCGUAGAUAUUAGGAGGAACACCAGUGGCGAAGGCGGCCUGCUGGGCUUUUACUGACGCUGAGGCUCGAAAGUGUGGGGAGCAAACAGGAUUAGAUACCCCAGUA
This 444-nucleotide ribosomal RNA is filed under the name uncultured bacterium. RNAcentral's name for it is "partial 16S ribosomal RNA". It matches the Rfam family "Bacterial small subunit ribosomal RNA", at positions 331 to 792 of the family's 1533-position model. The record is from RNAcentral.